UACAGAGGGUGCAAGCGUUGUUCGGAAUCACUGGGCGUAAAGGGCGCGUAGGUUGUGAAGUGUGUCUGGUGUGAAAUUCCUCAGCUUAACUGGGGAACUGCAUUGGAAACUGCUUCGCUAGAAUGCAAGAGGGGAUGGUGGAAUUCCCGGUGUAGAGGUGAAAUUCGUAGAUACCGGGAGGAACAUCUGGGGCGAAGGCGACCAUCUGGCUUGACAUUGACGCUGAGGCGCGAAAGCGUGGGUAGCAAACAGG
Molecule: ribosomal RNA, 253 nt
Filed under: uncultured bacterium
Lineage: Bacteria
Description: partial 16S ribosomal RNA
Rfam family: Bacterial small subunit ribosomal RNA
Source: RNAcentral